GUCGGGAGCGGUGAUUAAAAUGGACACAAAUCCGCUAAAGACUUCCAGGGCUACAACGAAGCACAGAGAGGAAAAAUGGGAAUUCCUCUCAUGAUUCCUUAUAGGGAUGGCAUCCAAUUCCCCAGGAUGCGGCUGUGCCCACAGUAUCAGUUUGGAAGUGAAAGAUGCCUCUUCCUAAACAAGUAAACUCCAUGCAGAAAUGUACACCGAUGCCCCUUGUUCCAUCUUCCAGUUACAAGAAGGAAAAUAUGUGCAAAGAAGUUAGAUGCCCUAUGAGGCAUUCUGCGUUUGCUAAUGAUUUAUUUUUUAAUGUUUGUUUGAAGUGAAGACAUCGUGAAAAUAAAUGAUAAGGCUCUUCUCGCA
This 363-nucleotide long non-coding RNA is filed under the name Coturnix japonica (Japanese quail). RNAcentral's name for it is "lncRNA (ENSCJPG00005015954.1)". Lineage: Eukaryota; Metazoa; Chordata; Aves; Galliformes; Phasianidae. The record is from RNAcentral.